This 253-nucleotide ribosomal RNA is filed under the name uncultured bacterium. Its description in RNAcentral is "partial 16S ribosomal RNA". It matches the Rfam family "Bacterial small subunit ribosomal RNA", at positions 524 to 776 of the family's 1533-position model. The record is from RNAcentral.
UACGAAGGGGGCUAGCGUUGUUCGGAAUUACUGGGCGUAAAGCGCACGUAGGCGGAUCGAUCAGUCAGGGGUGAAAUCCCAGGGCUCGACCCUGGAACUGCCUUUGAUACUGUCGAUCUGGAGUAUGGAAGAGGUGAGUGGAAUUCCGAGCGUAGAGGUGAAAUUCGUAGAUAUUCGCAAGAACACCAGUGGCGAAGGCGGCUCACUGGCCCGGUACUGACGCUGAGGUGCGAAAGCGUGGGGAGCAAACAGG